AGAGUUUGAUCCUGGCUCAGGAUGAACGCUAGCGGCAGGCUUAACACAUGCAAGUCGAGGGGUAACAUUGUAGCUUGCUACAGAUGACGACCGGCGCACGGGUGCGUAACGCGUAUACAAUCUACCUAUUACUAAGAGAUAGCCCAGAGAAAUUUGGAUUAAUAUUUUAUAGUAUUAUCAAUUGGCAUCAAUUGAUACUUAAAGGUUACGGUAAUAGAUGAGUAUGCGUCCUAUUAGCUUGAUGGUAAGGUAACGGCUUACCAUGGCUACGAUAGGUAGGGGUCCUGAGAGGGAGAUCCCCCACACUGGUACUGAGACACGGACCAGACUCCUACGGGAGGCAGCAGUGGGGAAUAUUGCACAAUGGGCGCAAGCCUGAUGCAGCCAUGCCGCGUGUGUGAAGAAGGCCUUCGGGUUGUAAAGCACUUUCAGUCAGGAGGAAAGCGUGGUGGUUAAUACCCAUCAUGUGUGACGUUACUGACAGAAGAAGCACCGGCUAACUCCGUGCCAGCAGCCGCGGUAAUACGGAGGGUGCGAGCGUUAAUCGGAAUUACUGGGCGUAAAGCGUACGCAGGCGGUUUGUUAAGCGAGAUGUGAAAGCCCCGGGCUCAACCUGGGAACUGCAUUUCGAACUGGCAAACUAGAGUGUGAUAGAGGGUGGUAGAAUUUCAGGUGUAGCGGUGAAAUGCGUAGAGAUCUGAAGGAAUACCGAUGGCGAAGGCAGCCACCUGGGUCAACACUGACGCUCAUGUACGAAAGCGUGGGGAGCAAACGGGAUUAGAUACCCCGGUAGUCCACGCCGUAAACGAUGUCUACUAGAAGCUCGGAGCCUCGGUUCUGUUUUUCAAAGCUAACGCAUUAAGUAGACCGCCUGGGGAGUACGGCCGCAAGGUUAAAACUCAAAUGAAUUGACGGGGGCCCGCACAAGCGGUGGAGCAUGUGGUUUAAUUCGAUGCAACGCGAAGAACCUUACCUACACUUGACAUACAGAGAACUUACCAGAGAUGGUUUGGUGCCUUCGGGAACUCUGAUACAGGUGCUGCAUGGCUGUCGUCAGCUCGUGUUGUGAGAUGUUGGGUUAAGUCCCGCAACGAGCGCAACCCCUAUCCUUAGUUGCUAGCAGGUAAUGCUGAGAACUCUAAGGAGACUGCCGGUGAUAAACCGGAGGAAGGUGGGGACGACGUCAAGUCAUCAUGGCCCUUACGUGUAGGGCUACACACGUGCUACAAUGGCGCAUACAGAGUGCUGCGAACUCGCGAGAGUAAGCGAAUCACUUAAAGUGCGUCGUAGUCCGGAUUGGAGUCUGCAACUCGACUCCAUGAAGUCGGAAUCGCUAGUAAUCGCGUAUCAGAAUGACGCGGUGAAUACGUUCCCGGGCCUUGUACACACCGCCCGUCACACCAUGGGAGUGGGUUGCUCCAGAAGUAGAUAGUCUAACCCUCGGGAGGACGUUUACCACGGAGUGAUUCAUGACUGGGGUGAAGUCGUAACAAGGUAACC
Molecule: ribosomal RNA, 1500 nt
Filed under: uncultured bacterium
Lineage: Bacteria
Description: bacterial SSU rRNA
Rfam family: Bacterial small subunit ribosomal RNA
Source: RNAcentral